CAUGGUUACCGGUCGUGGACGUGAGCAACAACAACAGAUUUUAUUUAGCUUUCUUUGUACUGUCUUGGUUUAAUCGUAUGUUUGACAGUUUAUGUUAUUUAGAAUUUAAAGGGUAACUUUAGCCGAACAUAUCUAAAGAGAGAUGACUGACCCGACGCUGGACUACUUUCUGAGCCAGGGUCAGAUAAAGAGGAGGGACGCUGCUGAGGUGAAGUGGUCGCACGCUGUGAACAGCAGGAGCAGGCUGACCGAGGCUCUGACAGGUCCCUCUCAUAUGAUUGAGGCCGACAUAAUCCUGAGAGGUCACGACCCCAAAGAGCCAAUCAUGGCCCAUCCCCCUGACACAGACAGUGACAUCACACUGAGGGAGUGGCUGGAAGCAGUGAAGACGAACAACAAGGGAAUUAAACUGGACUUUAAGAGCCUGGAGGCUGUGUCUCCGUCUUUGGCUCUGCUGGAUGAAGUGCUGGCUGACCUGAGCCGUCCUGUGUGGAUCAACGCAGAUAUUCUCUCUGGUCCUGGUGGACAGGCCAGACCUCUGGAGCCUCAGGCUUUUCUUUCUGCUGUGACAUCUCUACCCACUCACAUUGUGCUGUCCCUUGGCUGGACUACAGGAUGGACUGCUGGGACAGAAAACCCAGGUUACAGCUGGGACAUGGUGCGUGCAAUGGAAGAGAAAUGUAGAACCCUUCAACAUCCAGUCACCUUCCCCGUACGUGCAGCUCUCCUGGCCCAGUCGUUCUCCCAGCUCACAUGGCUGCUGCAGCAGUCAGACCGGUACACUCUAACUGUGUGGACCGGCCAGAAGGACACGUUAACACCACAGGACUGGCUGCCCUACAAAAAAGAGAUUGACGUCAGUAGGAUCUACUAUGACCUGCCCGAUGUUUGAAGGACGGAGCUGACACAUACUGAGACGCUGUCUGACUGGUUUCUUAACUCUUACAGAAGACUGAUGUCCACAGGUGGAGAGAGGGGAGGUGAACUGGUCUCUUGUCUAACCUGGAGGGUCAGGACCACCCAGGGAACUGCUGCAGGUCAGAUCAUAGGGUGAUGCUGCUGAGCUACGUAUCCUCUGGGCUCUCGCAACAAGUAACUUGUUAUACUGAAAAAUUAGGAAAUAACUGAAAAAUGAUAGAAAUAUGAUCAGCGUUAAGAGCAACACAACACCAGGCCAGGAAGUAGAAUUAUAAUGACCUCCAUAGUUGAAAGUCUGUUUUCACCUCCAACCACAGCCAGCACCACUGAUGGGGGUGCUUGGUAGAAAUGUCCUCUGUUACACCUGUAACCUUACCCAGUGAUGUCACAGUGCCCUGGAGUACACCUGUGCAUCACUGCAGCAAGGUGAAAAGAUAAACCACUGGAGGUCAGCAGAGACCAGGGGGCGUAGGCUGGACUGUGAACCAUCAGGGGCUUUUAAAAUCAGACCUCUAAUUAGACUGUUUCCAUACAUUUUCUUCUUGAAUGUGCUACACAUUGCUUCAGUGUGAAAAUUGGAUGUAUUAUUAUUAUUAUUAUUAUUAUUGUCACUGUUGUUGCUAUGACAUUGCAAGUCACUUACUUUUCACAUUUGAAAAGACAUCUGUAAAUGCACUAGUUCUACUCCGUAGGCCUGGCCUUGGUCUGUGUGGAUUCAUCCUCACUCAGGUAACAUGAGUUUUUCUGUUUCCUCUCUCUCUAGUUUCACCCUCUCUAUCAAUAAAUCACAUCAUUGUUUACAACCAUGGCUUGUCGUGUGGGAAGGUGUUUAGCUGCCUGUUAGACUGCACUGCAGAGAGUGAGGACGACAGAACAGUAGCAGCUUUUUUUGAGCCAGUGUCUGACAGGUGAUUGUUUGUCCACCAUCUGAAGAAACCCAAAGUGUUUAUAAUCAUUCAGUAUCACUGACACCGACAUAGUAUUUCAUUAUUAUAACUUAUAUAAUUAGAUCAUUUUUACUGAUGCUUUGACGUGUGAGUAGCACAAAUGAAUUUAUGCUUUUUUUGUAGUUUCAUCGAUAAAAAUGCACCUCAUUUUAAGUUGAGGUCAGUUUUAUCUUUGUAUAUAAAAAUAUGCAAAGGAACUGGAAACUAAAGCUGUAAAUUUGAUUUAAUUUAGUAAAAAUAUAGUCUCAAAAUAUAAGCGACAUCAGGGAAAUAUAAAGUAUAAAGAUAUAAAAUAUAAAGACAUUUUUAAAAUAUAGUGUUGUUAGAAAUUAAAAUGUGAUGUUGGCUGUAAAACUGAAAAACCUACCAGAAAUAUUCUGACAGAUUAAACAGGGCCUGAAAUAAUGAAGUAAGUGAAUCAGUACUAGUUGAUUCUUAAUGUGUUUUUCAUACAGUCCUGCUGAAUAAUGCCUCACAUGUCCUGCUGAAGUUGUUCUCAUUACUGCUGCUUGUUACAGGACUGUACUGAGAGCGCCAUGCUGAUCCCUGCUGUCGUUGUUCUGUGAAAUUAAAACGCUGAGGAAAAAGUCCAAAGCAAACUUGUUCUCACCGUGAGCCUUUCAUUACAUAUCUAACUGUAGACGCCACCCCCUGAGUCUGGUUUUGGGAGUUUGUCGUCUCCACUGUCGGAGUGCUGCUCAAGGUAAUCAUGAUGCAAAGUUUCACACUGAU
This is an RNA transcript of Toxotes jaculatrix (banded archerfish), 2597 nucleotides long. It is a transcript of the gene named family with sequence similarity 151 member B, with no coding region annotated. NCBI's taxonomy places the organism in Eukaryota, Metazoa, Chordata, Actinopteri, Toxotidae. The record is from RefSeq and is a predicted model, not a curated record. The transcript has 8 exons.